Pelmatolapia mariae (spotted tilapia) is the source of this 563-nucleotide long non-coding RNA. RefSeq lists it as uncharacterized. The record is from RefSeq and is a predicted model, not a curated record. The transcript has 3 exons. NCBI's taxonomy places the organism in Eukaryota, Metazoa, Chordata, Actinopteri, Cichliformes, Cichlidae.
AUUUGUUUUUGUUUUGUUUUUGAAUGUCAGAAAUGUAUAUUUGUGAAUGUGGAGAUGUUAUAUUGGUUUCACUGGUAAAAAUAAAUAAUUGAAAUGGGUAUAUAUUUGUUUUUUGUUAAGUUGCCUAAUAAUUAUGCACAGUAAUAGUCACCUGCACACACAGAUAUCCCCCUAAAAUAGCUAAAACUAAAAACAAACUAAAAACUACUUCCAAAAACAUUCAGCUUUGAUAUUAAUGAGUUUUUUGGGUUCAUUGAGAACAUGGUUGUUGUUCAAUAAUAAAAUUAUUCCUCAAAAAUACAACUUGCCUAAUAAUUCUGCACUCCCUGUAAGUUAGUCUGGAGAUAUCAGCUGUGACUGAACUCUGUCUGCAGUCACUCCAUCCACCUCUCUGUCUUCAGAUCCUCAGGAGGUCGCUUACGGUCAGGUUGUCAUCAAAAGCAAGAAAAAAGCUGGCAAGAGAACAGAACAGUCACCUGAUCCAUAUGCUGUGUACUCAUCAGUGAGAGCAGGAAGCUGAGAACACACUCGGUCUGAUGGACGACCUUCAUCCUUCACUCUGC